AGAGUUUGAUUCUGGCUCAGAAUGAACGCUGGCGGCGUGCUUAACACAUGCAAGUCGAGCGAGGCCAGGGGGGCAACUCCCUGAGUCGAGCGGCGGACGGGUGAGUAACACGUGGGUAACCUACCCGGAAGUGGGGAAUACCUCGGGGAAACUCGAGCUAAUACCGCAUGACAUCUUUGGGACGAAAGUCCCGACGAUCAAAGCGGGGUCGCAAGAUCUCGCGCUACCGGAUGGGCCCGCGCCCGAUUAGCUAGUUGGUGAGGUAAUGGCUCACCAAGGCUUCGAUCGGUAACCGGCCUGAGAGGGCGAUCGGUCACACCGGAACUGAGACACGGUCCGGACUCCUACGGGAGGCAGCAGUGGGGAAUCUUGCGCAAUGGGCGAAAGCCUGACGCAGCAACGCCGCGUGGAGGAUGAAGGCCCUUGGGUUGUAAACUCCUGUCGGCUGGGAAGAAAUCGUUUGUGGCUAAUACCCGCAGACGUUGACUGUACCAGCAAAGGAAGCCCCGGCUAACUCUGUGCCAGCAGCCGCGGUAAUACAGAGGGGGCCAGCGUUAUUCGGAAUUAUUGGGCGUAAAGGGCGCGUAGGCGGCCAUGCGUGUCUUCCGUGAAAUCCCUCGGCUCAACCGAGGACGUGCGGAAGAAACUGCAAGGCUCGAGUCCGGAAGAGGGGGGCGGAAUUCCCAGUGUAGCGGUGAAAUGCGCAGAUAUUGGGAGGAACACCAGUGGCGAAAGCGGUCCCCUGGGCCGGAACUGACGCUGAGGCGCGAAAGCGUGGGUAGCAAACGGGAUUAGAUACCCCGGUAGUCCACGCCGUAACGAUGGGCACUUGGUGUCGCGGGUAUCGACCCCUGCGGUGCCGAAGCUAACGCAUUAAGUGCCCGCCUGGGGAGUACGGUCGCAGCUGAACUCAAUGAAUGACGGGG
This 926-nucleotide ribosomal RNA is filed under the name uncultured bacterium. RNAcentral describes it as "bacterial SSU rRNA". It matches the Rfam family "Bacterial small subunit ribosomal RNA", at positions 8 to 918 of the family's 1533-position model. The record is from RNAcentral.